CUUUCUUUAAACGGGGAAAAUAUGCACAUAAAAAUUCAAAAGGCCUAGGCUGGGCAAGGUGGCUCAUGCCUGUAAUCCCAGCACUUUGGGAGGCCAAGGCGGGCAGAUCACUUGAGGUCAGAUUUGAGACCAGCAUGGCCAACAUAGCGAAACAGUCUCUACAAAAAAGAAGAAAGAAAACAAAAAUUAGCUGGGCAUGGUGGUGCACGCCUGUGGUCCCAGCUACUCUGGAAGCUGAGGCUUGGGAGGCUGAGGCACGAGAAUUGCUUGAACCCAGGAGGCGGAGGUUGCAGUGAGCCGAGAUUGCGCCACUGUACUCCAGCCUGGGCGACAGAAUGAGACUCCCUCUCAAAAUAAAAAUAUACAUUUACUGUAAAAAUAUAUUUGUCCAGCACGUGGAAUGAUCUGGAUUUGCUAACCCAUAAGGCUGACCGGGACUCAUUGUCCAUGGAGAGCGAACUCGCCUUCCUCGGGGAGAUGGUGCUUCGCCUCCUUCCUGCACUUCCAGCCCCACUGCCCCACCCGGCAGGCUCAUGCUGACUGUGCUUUGCUGAGGAUCUGCUUAGGAACUGCCUCAGUUUGCUGAGAAGUGAAAUGUUCUUGGGGGAACCCUCAGGGUUGUUGUCCCAGUUCCUGACACUAAGGCCUGCAUUUAGCAUGGUGCUCGGCCCAACACAGCAGACAGGCACCGUUCCCCCACCUCUGCCAACGAGGAGAGCCCCUGGGGGUUAACACUGCCGCUGGUGCCAGCACUGAUGGCAGCAUGGCAGUCAGGACCUAGGCCUGACAGAGUCCCCGGCAGCUACAGAAGUGCAUGGUCCCUCUCUGCACGGGCCACUUCCGGUACCUCUUGGUGUUGAAGUAAUUUAAGUCAGAACCCCUUUUAUUGCCCCAGGGGUGACCGCGAGGCCGUGGUCUCAGGGCUUUGUGUUUGCAGGAGUGUGGGGCUGGGGCUGCCUUUUCUGCGUCCCCUGGAGGAGACCUCAGGCAGCCUCUGUAGGUCUGAGGACCCACCUGCAUGCCAGGUUCUCCGGGAGGCUUUGGACUUGGGAGCCUUUGAACCUGCCCUUGAGAGGCGGAUCAGGAGGGGGCAGGUUUUACGCAUCAUGUGUUGAGCCCCUCACAUGCACCCUCCAAGGACCUGUUGGGGAUGGAGCAGCUUGCUGGAGACAAGGGGCAUGGCCUUAGCGGUGGCGCUGGGGUGAGAAUGCAGGGGUUUUGCCAAGGUAUCUGCACACAGCAGCCCCUGCCGCGUGGCAGGGACAGGAUGGGACCCUGGAAGGAAGAGGAGCUGGAGCUGUGCUGGAAGCAGCCGGCUCCCCUCACCUACCGCACAUUGCAGGGUCUGAGAGCUGGGGACGCUGGUGUGCGACAACGCGUGGUUGUUGCCACCCACCCUGGGCCCUCUGCUGCCUCUGCCGAGCCCAGGUGCACUGGCUGGGGAAAGAGUGGAGUCUAUUUGGUUCCCGUUAGAAAUAGCAGGGGGCUGGCAGUUUCAUGAUCAUGUCACCCACGUGUGUGAGUUUGCACACGCUUGCGCACGAAGGAACGCAUGCACCCUUGCACACAGCGAGAGGAGAGUUGGGCAGUUUCCACUCUCAGCAGCGCCGCCUCAGGCAGGUGCAGGGAGUGCCGUCGUCUUAGAGGGUCCCCCCUGGGUCUGGGGCUGCAGGGGACCUGCCUGGAGGUCUUUACAUCAGGGCAAAGCGGGGCAGGGGCUGCCUCUGGGUCUGGCGAUUCACCACUGCCCCGCUCAGAACGUGGGUGCAAGAGGCAGUGGGUGACCCCGCGUGUGUGGGCACAGUGGGCACCAGGAGCCCUGACCUUCUGUGUCAUGUUUCUGAACAGAGCCUGGAAACCUGGCUGGCGUCAGGCACAUCAUCCUGGUCCUCUCAGGAAAGGGGGGCGUUGGGAAAAGCACCAUCUCCACGGAGCUGGCCCUGGCACUGCGCCAUGCAGGCAAGAAGGUGAGCGCCCUGCCCCUCACUGGGCGGAGCCCCGGGCAGCUGCCCGCAUCCCGGCGGAGGCCUGGCGGUGCCCCUGGCCUAGGCUGUGCCGCUCCUUGCAGGUGGGAAUCCUGGAUGUGGACCUGUGUGGCCCCAGUAUCCCCCGCAUGCUCGGGGCGCAGGGCAGGGCUGUGCACCAGUGCGACCGUGGCUGGGCACCCGUCUUCCUGGACCGGGAGCAGAGCAUCUCGCUCAUGUCUGUGGGCUUCCUGCUGGAGAAGCCGGACGAGGCCGUGGUGUGGAGAGGCCCC
RNAcentral lists this small RNA (2257 nucleotides) under Pan troglodytes (chimpanzee). RNAcentral describes it as "retained intron". Lineage: Eukaryota; Metazoa; Chordata; Mammalia; Primates; Hominidae. The record is from RNAcentral.